RNAcentral lists this ribosomal RNA (317 nucleotides) under uncultured bacterium. RNAcentral describes it as "bacterial SSU rRNA". It matches the Rfam family "Bacterial small subunit ribosomal RNA", at positions 162 to 507 of the family's 1533-position model. The record is from RNAcentral.
UCUAAUACUUCAUAAUAUCCAUCUCGUAUGGAUUAAAGCUUUAUGCGCUUUGGGAGGGGCCUGCGUAACAUUAGCUAGUUGGUGAGGUAAAAGCUCACCAAGGCUUCGAUGUUUAACUGGUUUGAGAGGAUGACCAGUCACACUGGGACUGAGAUACGGCCCAGACUCCUACGGGAGGCAGCAGUAAGGAAUCUUCCACAAUGGGGCAACCCUGAUGGAGCAAUACCGCGUGCAGGAUGAAGCGUUUCGGCGUGUAAACUGCUUUAUCACCGAAGAUUAUGACUGUAGGUGAAGAAUAAGGACCGGCUAACUACGUG